RNAcentral lists this ribosomal RNA (234 nucleotides) under uncultured bacterium. RNAcentral's name for it is "partial 16S ribosomal RNA". The record is from RNAcentral.
UAAUCCGACCUAGGCUCAUCCGUCGACGCGAGGUCUUGCGACCCCCGCUUUCCCCCGAAGGGCGUAUGCGGUAUUAGCCAAUCUUUCGGUUGGUUAUUCCCCAUUACUGGGCAGAUUCCGAAGCAUUACUCACCCGUUCGCCGCUCGUCAGCACGUAUUGCUACGCCUGUUACCGCUCGACUUGCAUGUGUUAGGCCUGCCGCCAGCGUUCAAUCUGAGCCAGGAUCAAACUCU